CCCUUAGAUGUUCGGGGCCGCACGCGCGCUACACUGAAGGAAUCAGCACGUCUUUCUCCUUGUCCGAGAGGACUGGGUAACCCGCUGAACCUCCUUCGUGCUAGGGAUUGGGGCUUGUAAUUCUUCCCCAUGAACGAGGAAUUCCCAGUAAGCGCGAGUCAUAAGCUCGCGUUGAUUACGUCCCUGCCCUUUGUACACACCGCCCGUCGCUACUACCGAUUGGAUGGUUUAGUGAGAUCCUCGGAUUGGUCCCGGCGCGGCCUCUGGUCGUGCCGGAGUGCCGAAAAGAAUGUCGAACUUGAUCAUCUAGAGGAAGUAAAAGUCGUAACA
This 330-nucleotide ribosomal RNA is filed under the name uncultured eukaryote. RNAcentral's name for it is "partial 18S ribosomal RNA". It matches the Rfam family "Eukaryotic small subunit ribosomal RNA", at positions 1470 to 1796 of the family's 1831-position model. The record is from RNAcentral.